This 299-nucleotide signal recognition particle RNA is filed under the name Saimiri boliviensis boliviensis (Bolivian squirrel monkey). Its description in RNAcentral is "Metazoan signal recognition particle RNA (ENSSBOG00000014827.1)". It matches the Rfam family "Metazoan signal recognition particle RNA". Rfam says of the family: The signal recognition particle (SRP) is a universally conserved ribonucleoprotein. It is involved in the co-translational targeting of proteins to membranes. The eukaryotic SRP consists of a 300-nucleotide 7S RNA and six proteins: SRPs 72, 68, 54, 19, 14, and 9. Lineage: Eukaryota; Metazoa; Chordata; Mammalia; Primates; Cebidae. The record is from RNAcentral.
GCUGGGCACAGUGGUGCGGGCCUGUAGUCCCAGCUACUCGGGAGGCUGAGGCUGGAGGAUCCCUCGAGCCCAGGAGUUCUGGGCUGCAGUACCCUAUGCCAAUUGGGUGUCCACACUAAGUUCUACAUCAAUAUGGUGACCUCCUGGGAGCGGGGGACCACCAGGUUACCUAAGGAGGGGUGAACUGGCCCAGGUCGGAAAUAGAGCAGGUCAAAACUCCUGUACUGAUCAGUACUGGGAUUGUGCCUGUGAACAGCCAUUGCACUCCAGCCUGGGCAACACAGCAAGAUCCCGUCUCA